RNAcentral lists this ribosomal RNA (492 nucleotides) under uncultured bacterium. Its description in RNAcentral is "partial 16S ribosomal RNA". It matches the Rfam family "Bacterial small subunit ribosomal RNA", at positions 29 to 507 of the family's 1533-position model. The record is from RNAcentral.
AGUGAACGCUGGCGGUAGGCCUAACACAUGCAAGUCGAACGGCAGCACAGUAAGAGCUUGCUCUUACGGGUGGCGAGUGUCGGACGGGUGAGGAAUACAUCGGAUUCUACUUUUUCGUGGGUGAUAACGUAGGGAAACUUACGCUAAUACCGCAUACGACCUACUGGUGAAAGCAGGGGAUCUUCUGACCUUGCGCGAUUGUAUGAGCCGAUGUCGGAGUAGCUAGUUGGCGGGUUAAAGGCCCACCAAGGCGACGCUCCGUAGCUGGUCUGAGAGGAUGAUCAGCCAGACUGGAACUGAGACACGGUCCAGACUCCUACGGGAGGCAGCAGUGGGGAAUAUUGGACAAUGGGCGCAAGCCUGAUCCAGACAUACCGCGUGGGUGAAGAAGGACUUCGGGUUGUAAAGCCCUUUUGUUGGGAAAGAAAAGCAGCAGGUUAAUACCCCGCUGUUAUGACGGUACCCAAAGAAUAAGCACCGGCUAACUUCGUG